UACGGGGGGGGCAAUCGUUGUUCGGAAUUACUGGGCGUAAAGGGCUCGUAGGCGGCCAACUAAGUCAGACGUGAAAUCCCUCGGCUUAACCGGGGAACUGCGUCUGAUACUGGAUGGCUUGAGGUUGGGAGAGGGAUGCGGAAUUCCAGGUGUAGCGGUGAAAUGCGUAGAUAUCUGGAGGAACACCGGUGGCGAAGGCGGCAUCCUGGACCAAUUCUGACGCUGAGGAGCGAAAGCGUGGGGAGCAAACAGG
RNAcentral lists this ribosomal RNA (253 nucleotides) under uncultured bacterium. Its description in RNAcentral is "partial 16S ribosomal RNA". It matches the Rfam family "Bacterial small subunit ribosomal RNA", at positions 524 to 776 of the family's 1533-position model. The record is from RNAcentral.